Molecule: long non-coding RNA, 1415 nt
Filed under: Ursus maritimus (polar bear)
Lineage: Eukaryota; Metazoa; Chordata; Mammalia; Carnivora; Ursidae
Description: lncRNA (ENSUMAG00000008894.1)
Source: RNAcentral
UGCAUGAUUUUAGUAUCCAAGGGCCCAACUGGAUUUGAUCAGUGGCAGGAAACCACCAAAGAGGCCUGUGGCUACAGAGGCGUUCUAGCCCAUAGGCAGGACCCGUGGCCUCAGCGUCGUCUUCCACCAGAAGGGAAGCCCUUUGUCAUGGCACAGGACGGCUCUAACCCUCCUUCCUCUCCUUGCACCGUGAAGAGCCCUCCGGGAGGAGAUAGGGAAUCUCAACAGAGGUCUAUGUCCGUGUGGGAUUCUCCAUGUUUACUUGACAUCAUUCAUCUCACACAGAUGUCCCUCCCUAACCUUGAGCCCUCAGCUGGACUUGAAUUUGGCAAAGGCAUGAUACACGUCUAGACCAGUUGAAAAGCAUUCUGCUGAUUUAGCAACGUGAAAAUCAGUGCUGACAGCCCUACUCCUGCCGCUCUAGCGAAGGCCAAAAUGCACUGCAGAAUGCGCGAGCACCACCUGCUCCCACUCUCCUGGCGAUAAUUACAGUCCUGAAGUCGACUUAGAGGCACAGAAGACCCCUUGAUGUCAGUAGUCAUACCGUACUGGUAGAUGGCUUGUCUCGUGGUGCGUCAGCGAACCGAGAAGUAACUGUUGCAGAAAAUUGCAAUUUAGCCUUUGAUCCUUUUUCUUCUAAUUAAGAAACCCAAAUCUGACUUCCUCUUCUUUCUCGUUUACUUCGGAAAGUCGUUGGGCAGGUGCCAGCGGGGGAUAACAGGGCCUGGGCCAGGACAGUAUUGGACUGAGGCGGCAAGGGCAGCUGGUGACAGCUAGUGAUGACAAACUUUGCAAGGACAGUGUCAGAGCAUGGCAGAGAGCCAGCCUUACACAGUUGAGGGAAUGGAUACAUACAAGGCGUUGAGCAAGCACGCAUACUAAGGAUAGUGGGAGCAGAGAAGCAGAAAGAAAAACUGAUGGAAAGGUUCAUGUGCAGACAUACAUACUUGGGAAGGUAUGUGUGUAUGUAUAAAAGUACAUGCACUUCUGAGCUCUGUCCACUGAGAGGGCCUGUGAGAAGCAGCACUCCGGGAGCAAAGGGAACACUUAGCACCCAGAUCUUGGCUUCUCGAUGUCGCUCUCCACGAAAAGAAAUCAAGGUCUCCUAGAGAACUCACUGAUCCAGAGCUGGGGCAGGGAAAUUACAAAGUAAGCCAAGAGCAGCUUGUUGUGGAGAAAGUGUUCGAGAAUGAUGGGCACGAGUCAAAAGGACACAGAAGCCAGGUUCACGGGGCUUCUGGUGUCAAAAUCUAGGUCAGUUUGAACAUCAAAAUAAUUAAUGAUAAUAAGGCGUUAUAACCCAUUGAAGAAUAACUCAUUUGUUUAUAAGCAAAUGAAUGAACUUAAGAAUGGCAGCUGAGAAAGUUCCUCCUUGCAACAGAAUGCCAACCAAUAAAUGUGUAAGGAAUGAUACA